RNAcentral lists this ribosomal RNA (548 nucleotides) under uncultured fungus. RNAcentral's name for it is "eukaryotic LSU rRNA". The stretch from base 196 to 349 matches the Rfam family "5.8S ribosomal RNA". Lineage: Eukaryota; Fungi. The record is from RNAcentral.
CGUACAGGUCUCCGUAGGUGAACCUGCGGAGGGAUCAUUACAAGAACGCCCGGGCUUCGGCCUGGUUAUUCAUAACCCUUUGUUGUCCGACUCUGUUGCCUCCGGGGCGACCCUGCCUUCGGGCGGGGGCUCCGGGUGGACACUUCAAACUCUUGCGUAACUUUGCAGUCUGAGUAAACUUAAUUAAUAAAUUAAAACUUUUAACAACGGAUCUCUUGGUUCUGGCAUCGAUGAAGAACGCAGCGAAAUGCGAUAAGUAAUGUGAAUUGCAGAAUUCAGUGAAUCAUCGAAUCUUUGAACGCACAUUGCGCCCCCUGGUAUUCCGGGGGGCAUACCUGUUCGAGCGUCAUUUCACCACUCAAGCCUCGCUUGGUAUUGGGCAACGCGGUCCGCCGCGUGCCUCAAAUCGUCCGGCUGGGUCUUCUGUCCCCUAAGCGUUGUGGAAACUAUUCGCUAAAGGGUGUUCGGGAGGCUACGCCGUAAAACAACCCCAUUUCUAAGGUUGACCUCGGAUCAGGUAGGGAUACCCGCUGGACUUAAGCAUAUCA